AGCCUCCUGAUGCUUCCCACAGGCUGUGUUCUUGGUACCGAUGUAUAGAAAGAGGAGGUACACUACACCCACCCCAUACAUACCUAAGCUCAGGCCUGAUUAUGAUUGGAGGGCAUGG
RNAcentral lists this small nucleolar RNA (118 nucleotides) under Sorex araneus (European shrew). Its description in RNAcentral is "Small nucleolar RNA SNORA51 (ENSSARG00000018551.1)". It matches the Rfam family "Small nucleolar RNA SNORA51". From Rfam's summary of the family: ACA51 is a member of the H/ACA class of snoRNA that guide the sites of modification of uridines to pseudouridines. The record is from RNAcentral. Lineage: Eukaryota; Metazoa; Chordata; Mammalia; Eulipotyphla; Soricidae.